AUGAAGUACGGCGACGACGGCUCCACGUCCCUGGCAUUGGUGCCCGUGCCCAUGCCCGGGGAGCCGACGGCGGUGGCGCCCGGUGAUUCCGGGGCUUUCUCGGCGCCGGCCGGCAAACCGGCGGCGGGCGGCGUGCUGGCGGUGCCACCGGUGGGGAUGAAGAAGCGGGGUCGCCCAAAGGGCUCCACCAACAAGGUGAAGAAGCAGGACAAGGUCAUGUCUGCGCUUGCUUUCAUCGGGACUGCAGGAGCUGGCUUCACUCCACAUGUCAUUGCUGUUCAAGCUGGAGAGGAUGUGGCUGCAAAGAUCCUGUCAUUUGCGCAGCAUGGAGUUCGUGCAGUUGUUGUUCUUUCAGCAAAUGGCGCCAUUUCAAACGUGACCCUUCGGCAAUCUGCCACUUCAGGUGGGACGGUCACAUACGAGGGCCGAUUUGAGAUACUGUCGCUGUCCGGAUCGUUCACCGUGCAAGAGACUGGAGGCCAUCGUAGCCGAACCGGUGGGCUGAGUGUUUCACUUGCAAGUCCUGAUGGCCGCGUCUUGGGUGGCGGAAUUGCUGGACUCCUGAUUGCCUGCACACCUAUUCAGGUUGUGGUGGGAACCUUCAACACCGUGGCCGAGAAGAAGAAGGCGCCGAAGCACGCCGCCGCCGCUGCUGCUGCACAUGAACCGGCAUCCGCGCCACCGAGGAUGACGCCGAGCUUCGUGCCGGCGCCGAUCGCCGUGCCGCCUCUCGCGCAUGCUCCCAUCAGCGUCGGGAUGGCCCAGAACAGCCCGCCGUCCAGGGGCACGCUGAGCGAGUCCUCCGGGAGCCCGAUGAACCAGGGCGUCCCGGCGGCGGCCACUCCCAGCAACAGCGGCCUGUCCAGCAUGCCCUGGAAGUGA
This 882-nucleotide ribosomal RNA is filed under the name Triticum aestivum (bread wheat). Its description in RNAcentral is "partial small subunit ribosomal RNA". The record is from RNAcentral. Lineage: Eukaryota; Viridiplantae; Streptophyta; Magnoliopsida; Poales; Poaceae.